GAUGAACGCUGGCGGCGUGCUUAACACAUGCAAGUCGAACGAAGAUGCCGGAGUGCUUGCACUUUGGCAGACUGAGUGGCGGACGGGUGAGUAACGCGUGGGUAACCUGCCUUAUACAGGGGGAUAACAGUUGGAACGACUGCUAAUACCGCAUAAGCGCACGGUAUCGCAUGAUACAGUGUGAAAAACUACCGGUGGUAUAAGAUGGACCCGCGUCUGAUUAGCUAGUUGGUGAGGUAACGGCUCACCAAGGCGACGAUGCGUAGCCGACCUGAGAGGGUGAUCGGCCACAUUGGGACUGAGACACGGCCCAGACUCCUACGGGAGGCAGCAGUGGGGAAUAUUGCACAAUGGGGGAAACCCUGAUGCAGCAACGCCGCGUGAGUGAUGACGGCCUUCGG
This 401-nucleotide ribosomal RNA is filed under the name uncultured bacterium. RNAcentral describes it as "bacterial SSU rRNA". It matches the Rfam family "Bacterial small subunit ribosomal RNA", at positions 28 to 421 of the family's 1533-position model. The record is from RNAcentral.